UACAGAGGGUGCAAGCGUUAAUCGGAAUUACUGGGCGUAAAGGGCGCGUAGGCGGUUUAAUAAGUUGGUUGUGAAAUCCCUGGGCUUAACCUAGGAACUGCAACCAAGACUGUUGAACUGGAGUGCGGUAGAGGGUAGUGGAAUUUCCGGUGUAGCGGUGAAAUGCGUAGAUAUCGGAAGGAACACCAGUGGCGAAGGCGACUACCUGGACUGACACUGACGCUGAGGCGCGAGAGCGUGGGGAGCAAACAGG
RNAcentral lists this ribosomal RNA (253 nucleotides) under uncultured bacterium. RNAcentral's name for it is "partial 16S ribosomal RNA". It matches the Rfam family "Bacterial small subunit ribosomal RNA", at positions 524 to 776 of the family's 1533-position model. The record is from RNAcentral.